This 331-nucleotide unclassified non-coding RNA is filed under the name soil metagenome. RNAcentral describes it as "partial contains 5.8S ribosomal RNA, internal transcribed spacer 2, and large subunit ribosomal RNA". The stretch from base 1 to 120 matches the Rfam family "5.8S ribosomal RNA", at positions 35 to 154 of the family's 154-position model. The record is from RNAcentral.
GAUGAAGAACGUAGCGAAAUGCGAUAAGUAAUGUGAAUUGCAGAAUUCAGUGAAUCAUCGAAUCUUUGAACGCACAUUGCGCCCCCUGGUAUUCCGGGGGGCAUGCCUGUUCGAGCGUCAUUUCACCACUCAAGCCUCGCUUGGUAUUGGGCAACGCGGUCCGCCGCGUGCCUCAAAUCGACCGGCUGGGUCUUCUGUCCCCUAAUCGUUGUGGAAACUAUUCGCUAAAGGGUGUUCGGGAGGCUACGCCGUAAAACAACCCCAUUUCUAAGGUUGACCUCGGAUCAGGUAGGGAUACCCGCUGAACUUAAGCAUAUCAAUAAGCGGAGGA